RNAcentral lists this ribosomal RNA (399 nucleotides) under uncultured bacterium. RNAcentral's name for it is "bacterial SSU rRNA". It matches the Rfam family "Bacterial small subunit ribosomal RNA", at positions 358 to 774 of the family's 1533-position model. The record is from RNAcentral.
GGAAUCUUGGGCAAUGGGCGAAAGCCUGACCCAGCAACGCCGCGUGAGGGAUGAAGUAUUUCGGUAUGUAAACCUCGAAAGAAUGGGAAGAAUAAAUGACGGUACCAUUUAUAAGCUCCGGCUAACUACGUGCCAGCAGCCGCGGUAAUACGUAGGGAGCAAGCGUUGUUCGGAUUUACUGGGCGUAAAGGGCGCGUAGGCGGCGCGGUAAGUCACUUGUGAAAUCUCUGAGCUUAACUCAGAACGGCCAAGUGAUACUGCUGUGCUAGAGUGCGGAAGAGGCAACCGGAAUUCUUGGUGUAGCGGUGAAAUGCGUAGAUAUCAAGAGGAACACCUGAGGCGAAGGCGGGUUGCUGGGCCGACACUGACGCUGAUGCGCGAAAGCCAGGGGAGCAAACG